AAGGGUUCAAACCGUUUUCCAUUUCGGCAGGGGAAAGGCGCAGCCCAGGUGAUGGUCGACGACAAGUCGCUGAUUGCGAUGGCGAGCAGGGAGAGAGAUCGGGAGCUCCUUAUCCCAGUGGAGGACCGCCCCUCCGACGCCGACGAUGACCCUGACGCCAAGGCGUCCUCUUCUUCAGCCGCCGGUCCCUCCGCCUCCGCCCACCUCCACAGCUCGGGUCGAGAGGCCUUUUAUAAAGUUAUACGAAGUUGGGCAUCAAAGAAGUUCAUGACAGGAUGUUUCAUCUUGUUUCCAAUUGCAAUCACCUUUUAUAUCACCUGGUGGUUCAUUCAUUUUGUUGACGGCUUUUUUUCACCAAUCUAUGCUCAACUUGGGAUUAACGUAUUUGGACUUGGUUUUGUGACUUCCAUAACAUUCAUCUUCUUGGUUGGAGUGUUCAUGUCAUCAUGGCUAGGGGCGUCUGUCCUCAGUCUCGGUGAAUGGUUUAUCAAGCGCAUGCCUUUUGUUCGGCAUAUCUACAACGCCUCUAAGCAAAUUAGUUCUGCUGUAUCACCUGACCAGAAUAAACAAGCCUUUAAAGAAGUUGCCGUUAUUAGGCAUCCUCGAGUUGGUGAAUAUGCCUUCGGAUUUAUCACUUCAACUGUUCUUCUUCAGGUCCAUUAUCGCCAUGAAUGCUUAGUUUUGAUAUUUGUUCUAAAAAAAGUCUAUGCUCAUGUUCUCUUGGUGCAAGCAAAUUUACGCACCUCUACUUAGGAGUGGGGAAAAAAAAAACUAAUAUAUCAGCAUUAUCACUACAGAUCAGGUGGAAUAUAUGGGAAUAAAUUAAAUCAGUCAAGCUUAGCUAAUUGCCAUUCUCGCUGGUUAAAAAAGGGUCAAAUAAGUAGAAUGGCAGAAUGAAAACGAAGGCCUGACAAAACAUACAUGGUCGAGAAAGGAGCGAAGGAAGAAAAGUUAAAAACUAGACACGUGUGUGUGUGGAACAAAAAUAUCAAUAUUGGUACCGGCUGAAGCAUCAUAAAAGUAUUUAAUGCCCAUAAUUAUGUAUUGUUUGUGCUAGGGGCGGAUCCAGCGGGAGACAGCAUCGGCGGUCGCCCCUCUUUACCGGCGGUGGAGACCCUAGUAUUAUGGGGUUCUAUCGAUGGAGAUAGAGGAUACUACCUCUUGUUCUAUAGCUACAAUGGUGAGGAGGAACUCUGCUGUGUCUAUGUUCCAACAAACCAUCUCUACAUUGGCGAUAUUUUUCUGGUCAAUUCCAGUGAUGUCAUAAGACCAAAUCUCUCCGUCCGUGAAGGAAUUGAGAUUGUGGUCUCAGGUGGCAUGUCAAUGCCUCAAAUUCUAACAACGCUGCAUGAAAGCCCAGCACUCAAUCGAAGUAGAGCCAGCAGAAGUUGAUACCAAAUGGCACCAUGCCUUGGCAAGUAAACCCUCUUGAUCUUGCACUUCAAAUGCUCAUAUAUUUAACUCUCCCAACAGUGUUUGGUUUAGAUAGGUGGAUAAAAGAUCUGGUGAUAUUAUCUAGAUUUGUGUACUAUUUUGAUCUCACUAAACAUUAUGUUGUAAAUUCUAAUUUCAUGUCUCCAAUCAAUUAGCUGGUUAAGCCAGUUUAGCGUUUA
This is an RNA transcript of Zingiber officinale, 1613 nucleotides long. It is a transcript of the gene named protein LIKE COV 1-like, with no coding region annotated. The transcript has 7 exons. The record is from RefSeq and is a predicted model, not a curated record. Lineage: Eukaryota; Viridiplantae; Streptophyta; Magnoliopsida; Zingiberales; Zingiberaceae.